AUCACUUCUUGGCCUUUUGGCUAAGAUCAAGUGUAUUAUCUGUUCUUAUCAGUUUAAAUAAACAUAUGGUGACACCUGUUUUGAGUAGAUUUUUGGUAAAGUAAUAUUGCUGAUUUUUAAAGCAUACUUUGAUUUUACAAGAUUCAAAGAAGUACUGUCCGGAUAUUUAAAAUCUCCUCAAAAGAACUGAUUUUA
Small nuclear RNA from Cynocephalus volans (Philippine flying lemur), 195 nucleotides. RefSeq annotates it as U2 spliceosomal RNA. NCBI's taxonomy places the organism in Eukaryota, Metazoa, Chordata, Mammalia, Dermoptera, Cynocephalidae. The transcript has a single exon. The record is from RefSeq and is a predicted model, not a curated record.